This 484-nucleotide ribosomal RNA is filed under the name uncultured bacterium. RNAcentral's name for it is "partial 16S ribosomal RNA". It matches the Rfam family "Bacterial small subunit ribosomal RNA", at positions 30 to 507 of the family's 1533-position model. The record is from RNAcentral.
AUUGAACGCUGGCGGCAGGCCUAACACAUGCAAGUCGAGCGGAUGAAGGGAGCUUGCUCCUGGAUUCAGCGGCGGACGGGUGAGUAAUGCCUAGGAAUCUGCCUGGUAGUGGGGGAUAACGUCCGGAAACGGGCGCUAAUACCGCAUACGUCCUGAGGGAGAAAGUGGGGGAUCUUCGGACCUCACGCUAUCAGAUGAGCCUAGGUCGGAUUAGCUAGUUGGUGGGGUAAAGGCCUACCAAGGCGACGAUCCGUAACUGGUCUGAGAGGAUGAUCAGUCACACUGGAACUUAGACACGGUCCAGACUCCUACGGGAGGCAGCAGUGGGGAAUAUUGGACAAUGGGGGAAAGCCUUAUCCAGCCAUGCCGCGUGUGUGAAGAAGGUCUUCGGAUUGUAAAGCACUUUAAGUUGGGAGGAAGGGCAGUAAGUUAAUACCUUGCUGUUUUGACGUUACCAACAGAAUAAGCACCGGCUAACUUCGUG